RNAcentral lists this ribosomal RNA (474 nucleotides) under Proteus mirabilis. Its description in RNAcentral is "bacterial SSU rRNA". It matches the Rfam family "Bacterial small subunit ribosomal RNA", at positions 1 to 470 of the family's 1533-position model. The record is from RNAcentral. RNAcentral also lists the same sequence under 1 other name. Lineage: Bacteria; Pseudomonadati; Pseudomonadota; Gammaproteobacteria; Enterobacterales; Morganellaceae.
UUAAUUGAAGAGUUUGAUCAUGGCUCAGAUUGAACGCUGGCGGCAGGCCUAACACAUGCAAGUCGAGCGGUAACAGGAGAAAGCUUGCUUUCUUGCUGACGAGCGGCGGACGGGUGAGUAAUGUAUGGGGAUCUGCCCGAUAGAGGGGGAUAACUACUGGAAACGGUGGCUAAUACCGCAUAAUGUCUACGGACCAAAGCAGGGGCUCUUCGGACCUUGCACUAUCGGAUGAACCCAUAUGGGAUUAGCUAGUAGGUGGGGUAAAGGCUCACCUAGGCGACGAUCUCUAGCUGGUCUGAGAGGAUGAUCAGCCACACUGGGACUGAGACACGGCCCAGACUCCUACGGGAGGCAGCAGUGGGGAAUAUUGCACAAUGGGCGCAAGCCUGAUGCAGCCAUGCCGCGUGUAUGAAGAAGGCCUUAGGGUUGUAAAGUACUUUCAGCGGGGAGGAAGGUGAUAAGGUUAAUACCCUU